This 301-nucleotide ribosomal RNA is filed under the name uncultured bacterium. RNAcentral's name for it is "partial 16S ribosomal RNA". It matches the Rfam family "Bacterial small subunit ribosomal RNA", at positions 509 to 809 of the family's 1533-position model. The record is from RNAcentral.
CAGUCGCCGCGGGAAUACGAAGGGGGCUAGCGUUGCUCGGAAUGACUGGGCGUAAAGGGCGCGUAAGCGGAUGGCACAGUCAGAUGUGAAAUUCCCGGGCUUAACCUGGGGGCUGCAUUUGAUACGUGUUGUCUAGAGUGAGGAAGAGGGUCGUGGAAUUCCCAGUGUAGAGGUGAAAUUCGUAGAUAUUGGGAAGAACACCGGUGGCGAAGGCGGCGACCUGGUCCUUUACUGACGCUGAGGCGCGAAAGCGUGGGGAGCAAACAGGAUUAGAUACCCCGGUAGUCCCUGUCUCUUAUAU